AUGCACUUUUUUCACUUUAGUUCACUAAUUUAAAAAGUAAUCCUUAGAAGAAAUGAACAGUAAAACAAUAGUCAUUUGGCAAUGCAGGGUUGCCCAACUUAAGUAGGCAUACUUUGUUUGCAUAAUUUACAAUUUAACAGAAAAGGCUGUAAUCUUAAGAGGAAAACUCUAUUAAACAAAAUAAUGAAAUGACCUGAAGAAUUUUAUGCAAAUAUUAAUUUGGGACUGCUAUGAGGACAAAGAAUUAAUAGUUCUUAAAUAGCAAGAUAAAAUGCUGUGAGGAUGUGCCUAGGAAAAGUUUGUCAUUUUAGUAAAGACAUAGCUACACUUGCACUUAUCUAGAAAUACAACAUCUAUUCUGCAAAGGUUUUUCUAAGAACAAAGCUGGAACAUUUUGCUAUUUUUAAUUAGUAAGGUUCAGAAAUGGCCCUCUACAAUUCAAAGCUAAGCAUAAGCAAUACUUCAAAUCUUCCAGAUUUCAGUACCUGCUGCAUGAUGUGAAAAAUCCUUUCACAUUGCAGAAGUUAUAAAAAUCAGCAGCUAGAUAAUUUGCAAUUGUCUAUUUUAUACCAUAGAUAUUUGAGACAUUUGUAUAGAAACAGCACCUCAUACUUGUUUUUACUUCAGAAAUUAUGCUAUUUAUCCUGCAUCAUUUUUUUUUUUCAGUUCUUUAACAUCAAUGAGUAGAGAUAUUCCUAGUCAGGCAACUUGUUCAGGAAUGGCCCUAAAGUCUCCACUGAUAUUGUCUCAGCUAGUUUUUAAAUAUGGGAAAUUACUUUUAAACUAAAUUUUUAUGGCAUCCAAUUAAAAGUUAAGAGAUCUAGGGGGUCAGGAAGGCUCGCUGUAAUAUAUUACAGCAUUGCCAGAAAAGAUACAAAAUUUUUCUCUACAAAUGGGAGGUUUCUUAAUGUUUAGUAGGGAAGGCACAGCUUUUUUAUGCACAUCCAAAUCCCCUCUCUCCCAGAGAAGCAGGACAGGCUCCCCAUUCUGAAGGAAAAGGGGAAAAAGGAGAGUGCAUUGCCCAAGUGCUCCAUCUGCAACUCCAUCCCAUGGAGGAGCCGGAGGCACCGCAGCAGCGCUCCCAGAACCGCCUCAGGAAUCCACAGAGCAGCCAGAUGCCAGCCCUGGAAAAACAUGGAAUAUUGCAGGAUAGCUGCAUCCUGUGACUGGCAUCCAGAGAGGGGCCACGAGGCUGGACUGAUGUUCAGGGAUGAGCAGAAGGACCUCUAAUUUGCAGCAAAUUGUCCAAGCCCUUUCCCUGGCUGAAGUGGAGAGGGCAGUCCAGAAGAACCAACCUGCCCAAGGUGGGAACCAAGCAGCAGAAGGCUGAUGGAGACCUGGAUCACACAACAAAAUUUCUCACACCAAAGUCAGCCAAGCAAAGGGAGUUGGAAACAUUUAUUUUUAAGGGGAAUCUUCCUAACCAGGGCAUUGGGGCUGAGAAUCUCCCUUACCAUCUGCAGUGGAACACCGUAGCUGGAAUCAAUAAUCAGUAUUUUUAAUGUUAAAUCAGCACCUUAUGAAGAGGAAAAGCUGUUUAUUUCUUCCAUCUCCAUACUAAAAAAGGAACAAAGACUGGGAGAGCAGAAAUUUGUAAGUACCCCAUGGAGAGAAAAGAACUUUGUGAAAAAAACUCUGCCCCCAAUAAGCAGCUGCAAGAAAUACUUUUCAAUUUGGACUCUUCUGCUCAAUGUGACUGUUUGCACACUUAAUUUCCCAUCAGUUGGAAUUUCAGCAAAAAAGAACACUAUCAUUCCCUUUAGGAUAACUGGAGUACCCUGUUGUGCUAUGAUACAUCCACAUUUUUAAGUUAAAUAGAAUAAAAUUUGCCACAAAGUAAAACA
This is a long non-coding RNA of Parus major (Great Tit), 1844 nucleotides long. NCBI's taxonomy places the organism in Eukaryota, Metazoa, Chordata, Aves, Passeriformes, Paridae. The record is from Ensembl.